GCUGUGGCUUACAGUGGAAGAGCCUCUGUUUUGCACACAGAAAGCCCAAAGUUCAAUUCUUGGCAUUGGCU
Molecule: transfer RNA, 71 nt
Filed under: Sphaerodactylus townsendi
Lineage: Eukaryota; Metazoa; Chordata; Lepidosauria; Squamata; Sphaerodactylidae
Description: tRNA-Ala
Rfam family: tRNA
About the family: Transfer RNA (tRNA) molecules are approximately 80 nucleotides in length. Their secondary structure includes four short double-helical elements and three loops (D, anti-codon, and T loops).
Source: RNAcentral